UGCUCCUUGAUUCAGCGGCGGACGGGUGAGUAAUGCCUAGGAAUCUGCCUGGUAGUGGGGGACAACGUUUCGAAAGGAACGCUAAUACCGCAUACGUCCUACGGGAGAAAGCAGGGGACCUUCGGGCCUUGCGCUAUCAGAUGAGCCUAGGUCGGAUUAGCUAGUUGGUGAGGUAAUGGCUCACCAAGGCGACGAUCCGUAACUGGUCUGAGAGGAUGAUCAGUCACACUGGAACUGAGACACGGUCCAGACUCCUACGGGAGGCAGCAGUGGGGAAUAUUGGACAAUGGGCGAAAGCCUGAUCCAGCCAUGCCGCGUGUGUGAAGAAGGUCUUCGGAUUGUAAAGCACUUUAAGUUGGGAGGAAGGGCAGUAAGCUAAUACCUUGCUGUUUUGACGUUACCGACAGAAUAAGCACCGGCUAACUCUGUGCCAGCAGCCGCGGUAAUACAGAGGGUGCAAGCGUUAAUCGGAAUUACUGGGCGU
RNAcentral lists this ribosomal RNA (484 nucleotides) under Pseudomonas hunanensis. Its description in RNAcentral is "bacterial SSU rRNA". It matches the Rfam family "Bacterial small subunit ribosomal RNA", at positions 81 to 561 of the family's 1533-position model. Lineage: Bacteria; Pseudomonadati; Pseudomonadota; Gammaproteobacteria; Pseudomonadales; Pseudomonadaceae. The record is from RNAcentral.